Molecule: long non-coding RNA, 364 nt
Organism: Manduca sexta (tobacco hornworm)
Lineage: Eukaryota; Metazoa; Arthropoda; Insecta; Lepidoptera; Sphingidae
Exons: 2
Source: RefSeq, a predicted model, not a curated record
GCUAGUCCAUCAGAUUUUUUAUAACAAUGAAAAUAAUAUUGCCCCGAUGAUUGAAAAUUUUAUUAAGAUCAGUAAAUUCUGAACCUGGGUAAGUGGAGCGAUCGUACGAGCAACGCAUGACAUUGUGUGAACGACCUUGCGCGGGCGAUUACGUGCCGAGUGACGUGUACCGCGAUGACACACCCACCGGACCGAUCCACUUCGACCACCAAGCUCUUAGGAAACUACAAAGAAAAAUACACCUUAAGAUUCUGGUGAUAUAAACGAAAAUUGACAACAUGCAGCCACCAGCUGACUACGAUAACUUGGGCACUUAGCUGUAAUUUAUUACAUGGAGCAAAAUAAACUUUAUGUUUAUGUGGCA